CCUACGGGUGGCAGCAGUGAGGAAUAUUGGUCAAUGGGCGAGAGCCUGAACCAGCCAAGUCGCGUGAAGGAUGAAGGAUCUAUGGUUUGUAAACUUCUUUUAUAUGGGAAUAAAGUGAGGCACGUGUUCCUUUUUGUAUGUACCAUAUGAAUAAGCAUCGGCUAACUCCGUGCCAGCAGCCGCGGUAAUACGGAGGAUGCGAGCGUUAUCCGGAUUUAUUGGGUUUAAAGGGUGCGUAGGCGGUUAAUUAAGUCAGCGGUGAAAGUUUGUGGCUCAACCAUAACAUUGCCGUUGAAACUGGUUGACUUGAGUAUAUUUGAGGUAGGCGGAAUGCGUGGUGUAGCGGUGAAAUGCAUAGAUAUCACGAAGAACUCCGAUUGCGAAGGCAGCUUACUAAACUAUAACUGACGCUGAAGCACGAAAGCGUGGGUAUCAAACAGGAUUAGAUACCCUGGUAGUC
RNAcentral lists this ribosomal RNA (460 nucleotides) under uncultured bacterium. RNAcentral's name for it is "partial 16S ribosomal RNA". It matches the Rfam family "Bacterial small subunit ribosomal RNA", at positions 338 to 795 of the family's 1533-position model. The record is from RNAcentral.